RNAcentral lists this ribosomal RNA (253 nucleotides) under uncultured bacterium. RNAcentral describes it as "partial 16S ribosomal RNA". It matches the Rfam family "Bacterial small subunit ribosomal RNA", at positions 524 to 776 of the family's 1533-position model. The record is from RNAcentral.
GACAGAGGGUGCAAACGGUGUUCGGAAUUACUGGGCGUAAAGCGCAUGUAGGCGGCCAAGCAAGUCGGGUGUGAAAGCCCAGGGCUCAACCCUGGAAGUGCACUCGAAACUGCUCGGCUGGAGUCUCGGAGAGGAUCGCGGAAUUCUGGGUGUAGAGGUGAAAUUCGUAGAUAUCCAGAGGAACACCAGUGGCGAAGGCGGCGAUCUGGACGAGUACUGACGCUGAGAUGCGAAAGCGUGGGGAGCAAACAGG